CCUACGGGCGGCAGCAGUGAGGAAUAUUGGUCAAUGGGCGCAAGCCUGAACCAGCCAUGCCGCGUGCAGGAUGACGCAUCUAUGGUGUGUAAACUGCUUUUGUACAGGAAGAAACAUCCCGACGAGUCGGGACUUGACGGUACUGUAAGAAUAAGGAUCGGCUAACUCCGUGCCAGCAGCCGCGGUAAUACGGAGGAUCCAAGCGUUACCCGGAAUCAUUGGGUUUAAAGGGUCCGUAGGCGGCUUAAUAAGUCAGCGGUGAAAGUUUUUGGCUUAACCAAAAAAUUGCCAUUGAUACUGUUAGGCUUGAAUUUUUGUGAAGUAACUAGAAUAUGUAGUGUAGCGGUGAAAUGCUUAGAUAUUACAUGGAAUGCCAAUUGCGAAGGCAGGUUACUAACAAACGAUUGACGCUGAUGGACGAAAGCGUGGGUAGCGAACAGGAUUAGAUACCCGAGUAGUC
This 460-nucleotide ribosomal RNA is filed under the name uncultured bacterium. RNAcentral's name for it is "bacterial SSU rRNA". It matches the Rfam family "Bacterial small subunit ribosomal RNA", at positions 338 to 795 of the family's 1533-position model. The record is from RNAcentral.